RNAcentral lists this small RNA (75 nucleotides) under Xanthomonas arboricola. Its description in RNAcentral is "sRNA sX9". It matches the Rfam family "Xanthomonas sRNA sX9". Lineage: Bacteria; Pseudomonadati; Pseudomonadota; Gammaproteobacteria; Lysobacterales; Lysobacteraceae. The record is from RNAcentral.
AGUGCCACGCGGACACAGCGGUUCCUGCGCGCCGUCUGCAGCCACCUGAUGGCUGCGUGCUGCGUUUUGCUAACC